Long non-coding RNA from Cryptotermes secundus, 525 nucleotides. RefSeq lists it as uncharacterized. NCBI's taxonomy places the organism in Eukaryota, Metazoa, Arthropoda, Insecta, Blattodea, Kalotermitidae. The record is from RefSeq and is a predicted model, not a curated record. The transcript is spliced from 3 exons.
GGCAGGAGGGCCCAUCUCAGUCUGCUGUAUCUUCACCUGUUAUCGCCUGGUAACGGCUUCCAAAGUCGUAGCUUCGUCAGCUUCCGUUUCACGUCCUUGCUGGCCGGCGGCCGUCUCACAACUCACUCAUUGCUCCAGCUGACUAACUCCUAGGCUGGCGCCCAUCUCACACCAACCUCCUACUCUUCUCACCGCCAUCUCGAGAUUCUCUGGACCUGUAUGUGUGGGACGAGCAUCACCACCACCGCACAUUCUGCAUGAGGCUACAAUACACAGAUGCACUACUGCUUAUAGAAAGGCUACAUGGAUACCUCCAGAGGAGAGUGGUUGCACAGGAACACCCUGCGCAGAAUCGCUUCAUUCAGCUGUUUCUCGGAAGCUGUCUGCAUCCCUUACGGAGUGUAAUUCUUGGUAUGGCUGUUAAUUUUAAUUUGUCUCAUUGUUCAUUAAUGUACUGACGGAAGAUAAACAAGCAAUAAAGCCAAUAAUUCACCAUCCGUCCGUCCGUGGUUCACGCUUACUCCU